RNAcentral lists this ribosomal RNA (420 nucleotides) under Streptomyces sp. SID10692. Its description in RNAcentral is "partial 23S ribosomal RNA". It matches the Rfam family "Bacterial large subunit ribosomal RNA", at positions 2512 to 2925 of the family's 2925-position model. Lineage: Bacteria; Bacillati; Actinomycetota; Actinomycetes; Kitasatosporales; Streptomycetaceae. The record is from RNAcentral.
GAUGGUUUGGCACCUCGAUGUCGGCUCGUCGCAUCCUGGGGCUGGAGUCGGUCCCAAGGGUUGGGCUGUUCGCCCAUUAAAGCGGUACGCGAGCUGGGUUUAGAACGUCGUGAGACAGUUCGGUCCCUAUCCGCUGCGCGCGUAGGAAUAUUGAGAAGGGCUGUCCCUAGUACGAGAGGACCGGGACGGACGAACCUCUGGUGUGCCAGUUGUUCUGCCAAGGGCAUGGCUGGUUGGCUACGUUCGGAAAGGAUAACCGCUGAAAGCAUCUAAGCGGGAAGCCUGCUUCGAGAUGAGUAUUCCCACCCCCAUGAGGGGUUAAGGCUCCCAGUAGACGACUGGGUUGAUAGGCCAGAUGUGGAAGCCCGGUAACGGGUGGAGCUGACUGGUACUAAUAGGCCGAGGGCUUGUCCUCAGUUG